RNAcentral lists this long non-coding RNA (1421 nucleotides) under Toxoplasma gondii VEG. The record is from RNAcentral. Lineage: Eukaryota; Apicomplexa; Conoidasida; Eucoccidiorida; Sarcocystidae.
CAUGGGUGCAGUGACUGCACACUGAUAGAUUAUUGUGACAGAUAAGACUGCAUUUCUCCUCUGCAUCGAGCCACCAGUUGUUCAUGAACUUCCCGGGAAUUUCGGUAUUAGCCACAAAGAUGACAGAACUCGGCUAGUGCGGCAGGGUUGGUCAACGGCAGCUCGCCUUGCGAAAAAGACUCCGCCUGCAUUGUAGAACGACUGGGGAUACCGUCUGUCAACACCUGAGCUAACGUUUCGGCUCCUAAAUACAGAGGUGCAUUCCUUGCUUUUGGUAAGGUAGAAAUCGGAUCCACCACUAGCCGGAAGAGCAGGAACAUCAUAAAGUUGAUCCUGAAAAGGCAGAUGCGGACCCUGUGCAGGUGAAAUGGCAUCGUCAUGAUGAGACACAAAUGCAGUAAACAAAUGUGGGUACCGGUACUCAGGGGGGCCACACCAAGCGCCAUCAGAAAAAAGAAUCUUGCCAUCCACUUUGGUCGCCGAAUGCCUGCGGAUGUUUAUUUCAUUCGCAAGAUGACCAAGCAAAUUGCAUCACGGUGAACGUAUUACUUCCAGAACGCCUCGGCGGGGUUUGACCGUGUAUCAUUUCGCUCAAGAAGAAUGUAUCUGGCUUAAAUACGUCAUCUGGUCCUGAUCGUAAUUGCUUAACGUAGCACACCAUCUUCUCCUAAAUCGUGGUUAUGCUUGAAUCACUGUGUGCCGCCACUUCCGCGUCCAGCCUUCAUGCGCUGCAAUUAAGAGCAACCAUCCUAGCCUGUUCUGCACUCACAAACGGACGCGUCUUGCCCGUCAAGCAAGCCAGCGUUUCGCGCUGUAAAAAACAAAUCAAAACCUCACCAACUUCAAGUUGGGAGCACCGCUGAACCAAAAUGAAAUCCUUUCUUCGGUGUAUAUCAGCAUGCAUCAUGGUGUAUGAACUGAUCGAAAAAGUGGAAAUGCAGGGCCGGGCGUGGAAGACAGUCAACUAGGCAAACGCCUCUAUGGAAUCACAGACCCUGGACGAUAUGAUAAGAAUGUAGUUGUAGACCGCGCAGCAUGAUGUGGUGAGGUUCUCAACGGCACAUCACUGGAUGUUGUUUUCGUGAGUUCUUUUUGUGAAGCAAUUCAUCUGUGUGAGCUCAACACAAGAAGGGUCUACAGGGUUUGAUAAGGUAGUAACGCGUUGACAUAACCUAAACGCAUGUGUCACUCCGGCAUUCAUUAGAGAGCCGGACUACUGUUGAUCAUUUGUCUUGGAGUUUCACCGUGCCUGCAGCGAACUGCUGGGAAUCACAUCUUGGAGUUGCACAAUUUCUCUUCACCGGUGCAGGCCGUGAGCGAAUCAAUGCUGACAUGGGUCGAUACCAUCUUCUGCUUACCUACGCCGUGUAACAACAGGUCGGAGAACGCAACAGAUGAUGCAAUGGAAAAAACUGCUUUCU